UACAGAGGGUGCGAGCGUUAAUCGGAAUUACUGGGCGUAAAGCGCGCGUAGGCGGCUUUUCAAGUCGAUUGUGAAAUCCCCGGGCUCAACCUGGGAACUGCAGUCGAGACUGUCUAGCUAGAGUAUGGGAGAGGGAAGUGGAAUUUCAGGUGUAGCGGUGAAAUGCGUAGAUAUCUGAAGGAACAUCAGUGGCGAAAGCGACUUCCUGGACCAAUACUGACGCUCAUGUGCGAAAGCGUGGGGAGCAAACAGG
This 253-nucleotide ribosomal RNA is filed under the name uncultured bacterium. RNAcentral's name for it is "partial 16S ribosomal RNA". It matches the Rfam family "Bacterial small subunit ribosomal RNA", at positions 524 to 776 of the family's 1533-position model. RNAcentral also lists the same sequence under 1 other name. The record is from RNAcentral.